CCUACGGGCGGCAGCAGUGGGGAAUAUUGCACAAUGGGGGAAACCCUGAUGCAGCGACGCCGCGUGAGUGAAGAAGUAAUUCGUUAUGUAAAGCUCUAUCAGCAGGGAAGAAAAUGACGGUACCUGAGUAAGAAGCCCCGGCUAACUACGUGCCAGCAGCCGCGGUAAUACGUAGGGGGCAAGCGUUAUCCGGAUUUACUGGGUGUAAAGGGAGCGUAGACGGCAGUGCAAGUCUGGAGUGAAAGGCGGGGGGUCAACCCCAGGAGUGCUCUGGAAACUGUACUGCUGGAGGGGGGGAGAGGUAAGGGGAAUUCGUGGGGUAGCGGUGAAAUGCGUAGAGAUUAGGAAGAAC
This 352-nucleotide ribosomal RNA is filed under the name uncultured bacterium. RNAcentral describes it as "partial 16S ribosomal RNA". It matches the Rfam family "Bacterial small subunit ribosomal RNA", at positions 338 to 707 of the family's 1533-position model. The record is from RNAcentral.